UGAACCAGCCAAGUCGCGUGCAGGAAGAAUGUCCUAUGGAUUGUAAACUGCUUUUGCAGGGGAAUAAAGUGCAUCACGUGUGAUGUUUUGUAUGUACUCUGCGAAUAAGGAUCGGCUAACUCCGUGCCAGCAGCCGCGGUAAUACGGAGGAUCCGAGCGUUAUCCGGAUUUAUUGGGUUUAAAGGGUGCGUAGGCGGGAUAAUAAGUCAGUGGUGAAAGUUUGCAGCUUAACUGUAAAAUUGCCGUUGAAACUGUUAUUCUUGAGAGUAGAUAAGGUAGGCGGAAUGUGUUGUGUAGCGGUGAAAUGCAUAGAUAUAACACAGAACCCCGAUUGCGAAGGCAGCUUACCGGGCUACAUCUGACGCCUGAUGCACGAAAGCGUGGGGAUCAAACAGGAUUAGAUACCCUGGUAGUCCACGCAGUAAACGAUGAAUACUAGCUGUAUGCGAUAUACUGUAUGUGGCAAAGCGAAAGCAUUAAGUAUUCCACCUGGGGAGUACGUUCGCAAGAAUGAAACCUCAAAGGAAUUGACGGGGGCCCGCACAAGCGGAGGAACAUGUGGUUUAAUUCGAUGAUACGCGAGGAACCUUAC
RNAcentral lists this ribosomal RNA (592 nucleotides) under uncultured bacterium. RNAcentral describes it as "bacterial SSU rRNA". It matches the Rfam family "Bacterial small subunit ribosomal RNA", at positions 384 to 974 of the family's 1533-position model. The record is from RNAcentral.